GUCCUUUUAGUAUCAAUUAGUACAACUGACUUCCAAUCAGUUAGCUUCGGAUAACCCCCGAAAAAGGANA
This 70-nucleotide transfer RNA is filed under the name Camelus knoblochi. RNAcentral's name for it is "tRNA-Gly". Lineage: Eukaryota; Metazoa; Chordata; Mammalia; Artiodactyla; Camelidae. The record is from RNAcentral.